Molecule: ribosomal RNA, 1485 nt
Filed under: uncultured Pedobacter sp.
Lineage: Bacteria; Pseudomonadati; Bacteroidota; Sphingobacteriia; Sphingobacteriales; Sphingobacteriaceae
Description: bacterial SSU rRNA
Rfam family: Bacterial small subunit ribosomal RNA
Source: RNAcentral
AGAGUUUGAUCAUGGCUCAGGAUGAACGCUAGCGGCAGGCCUAAUACAUGCAAGUCGAACGAGAUUAAGAGGCUUGCUUCUUAUGAAAGUGGCGCACGGGUGCGUAACGCGUAUGCAACCUACCUUAAUCAGGGGGAUAGCCCGAAGAAAUUCGGAUUAAGACCGCAUAAAAACACAGGAUAGCAUUAUCCAAUGUUCAAAUAUUUAUAGGAUUAAGAUGGGCAUGCGUGUCAUUAGCUAGUUGGCGGGGUAACGGCCCACCAAGGCGACGAUGACUAGGGGAUCUGAGAGGAUGACUCCCCACACUGGUACUGAGACACGGACCAGACUCCUACGGGAGGCAGCAGUAAGGAAUAUUGGUCAAUGGAGGGAACUCUGAACCAGCCAUGCCGCGUGCAGGAAGACAGCCCUCUGGGUCGUAAACUGCUUUUAUUCGGGAAUAAACCUUUCUACGUGUAGGAAGCUGAAUGUACCGAAGGAAUAAGGAUCGGCUAACUCCGUGCCAGCAGCCGCGGUAAUACGGAGGAUCCAAGCGUUAUCCGGAUUUAUUGGGUUUAAAGGGUGCGUAGGCGGCUUAUUAAGUCAGGGGUGAAAGACGGUGGCUCAACCAUCGCAGUGCCCUUGAUACUGAUGAGCUUGAAUACACUAGAGGUAGGCGGAAUGUGACAAGUAGCGGUGAAAUGCAUAGAUAUGUCACAGAACACCGAUUGCGAAGGCAGCUUACUAUGGUGUUAUUGACGCUGAGGCACGAAAGCGUGGGGAUCAAACAGGAUUAGAUACCCUGGUAGUCCACGCCCUAAACGAUGAAUACUCGCUGUUAGCGAUAUACAGUUAGCGGCUAAGCGAAAGCGUUAGGUAUUCCACCUGGGGAGUACGCCCGCAAGGGUGAAACUCAAAGGAAUUGACGGGGGCCCGCACAAGCGGAGGAGCAUGUGGUUUAAUUCGAUGAUACGCGAGGAACCUUACCCGGGCUUGAAAGUUAGUGAAUGAUCUAGAGAUAGAUCAGUGAGCAAUCACACGAAACUAGGUGCUGCAUGGCUGUCGUCAGCUCGUGCCGUGAGGUGUUGGGUUAAGUCCCGCAACGAGCGCAACCCCUAUGUUUAGUUGCCAGCACGUUAAGGUGGGGACUCUAAACAGACUGCCUGUGCAAACAGAGAGGAAGGGGGGGACGACGUCAAGUCAUCAUGGCCCUUACGUCCGGGGCUACACACGUGCUACAAUGGAUGGUACAGAGGGCAGCAAGCUGGCAACAGCAAGCGAAUCUCAAAAAGCCAUUCACAGUUCGGAUAGAGGUCUGCAACUCGACCUCUUGAAGUUGGAUUCGCUAGUAAUCGCGUAUCAGCAAUGACGCGGUGAAUACGUUCCCGGGCCUUGUACACACCGCCCGUCAAGCCAUGGAAGUUGGGGGUACCUAAAGUAUGUAACCGUAAGGAGCGUCCUAGGGUAAAACCGAUAACUGGGGCUAAGUCGUAACAAGGUAGCCGU